Molecule: long non-coding RNA, 149 nt
Organism: Octopus sinensis (East Asian common octopus)
Lineage: Eukaryota; Metazoa; Mollusca; Cephalopoda; Octopoda; Octopodidae
Exons: 3
Source: RefSeq, a predicted model, not a curated record
GAAAUAGAAGUUACCAAAAUGUGGAACCUCAUGACUAAAACAAUGCCUGUUGUCAUAAGGUCCUAAGAAUGAUAGCAAAAGGGGCUGUUUGUUACCUAGCUCAGAUACCAGGAAAUCCAAAAAUUGCAGAGAUUCAGAUGAUAGUGCUC